GGUGUUUACUGUCGAACUGAACACUCUACCGUUUACUGUCUGGUGGUGCUCUUCACCGAGUGUCACCAGUGGUCGGUACGUUUACUUUGAAAAAAUUAGAGUGCUCAAAGCGGUUUUACACGACCGAAUACUGUUGCAUGAUAUGAAAUAGACUUUGUUCUAUUUUGUGGUCUCGAACCAAGGUAAUGAUAGAGGGACAGACGGGGGCAUUAGUAUUGCGACGCUAGAGGUGAAAUUCUUGGACCGUCGCAAGACUAACUAAAGCGAAAGCAUUUGCCAAGAAUGUUUUCAUUAAUCAAGAACGAAAGUAGAGGUUCGAAGGCGAUCAGAUACCGCCCUAGUUCUAACCAUAAACGAUGCCAACCAGCAAUCAGCCUGUGUUCUCUUGAUGACACGGCUGGCGGCUUCCGGGAAACCAAAGUCUUUCGGUUCCAGGGGAAGUAUGGUUGCAAAGCUGAAACUUAAAGGAAUUGACGGAAGGGCACCACCAGGAGUGGAGCCUGCGGCUUAAUUUGACUCAACACGGGGAAACUCACCCGGCCCGGACACUGUGAGGAUUGACAGGUUGAAGCCCUUUCUUGAUUCAGUGGGUGGUGGUGCAUGGCCGUUCUUAGUUGGUGGAGUGAUUUGUCUGGUUAAUUCCGAUAACGAACGAGACUCUAGCCUACUAAUUAGACCGUGGCGUCCUCGUGCCGCCACGGCGCUUCCUAGAGGGACAGACGG
RNAcentral lists this ribosomal RNA (723 nucleotides) under uncultured eukaryote. RNAcentral describes it as "SSU rRNA". It matches the Rfam family "Eukaryotic small subunit ribosomal RNA", at positions 671 to 1426 of the family's 1831-position model. The record is from RNAcentral.